GUGGUAUAGUGGUUAAGCAUUUGGCUGCUAACUGAAAGGUUGGUGGUUCAAACCCACCC
This 59-nucleotide transfer RNA is filed under the name Loxodonta africana (African savanna elephant). It matches the Rfam family "tRNA", at positions 7 to 64 of the family's 71-position model. From Rfam's summary of the family: Transfer RNA (tRNA) molecules are approximately 80 nucleotides in length. Their secondary structure includes four short double-helical elements and three loops (D, anti-codon, and T loops). Further hydrogen bonds mediate the characteristic L-shaped molecular structure. tRNAs have two regions of fundamental functional importance: the anti-codon, which is responsible for specific mRNA codon recognition, and the 3' end, to which the tRNAs corresponding amino acid is attached (by aminoacyl-tRNA synthetases). tRNAs cope with the degeneracy of the genetic code in two manners: having more than one tRNA (with a specific anti-codon) for a particular amino acid; and 'wobble' base-pairing, i.e. permitting non-standard base-pairing at the 3rd anti-codon position. Lineage: Eukaryota; Metazoa; Chordata; Mammalia; Proboscidea; Elephantidae. The record is from Rfam by way of RNAcentral.